RNAcentral lists this ribosomal RNA (323 nucleotides) under uncultured eukaryote. RNAcentral's name for it is "partial 18S ribosomal RNA". It matches the Rfam family "Eukaryotic small subunit ribosomal RNA", at positions 1470 to 1796 of the family's 1831-position model. The record is from RNAcentral.
CCCUUAGAUGUCCUGGGCCGCACGCGCGCUACACUGAUGCAUUCAACGAGUUUUACCUUGGCCGAGAGGCCUGGGCAAUCUUUUAAACCUGCAUCGUGAUAGGGAUAGAUUAUUGCAAUUAUUAAUCUUGAACGAGGAAUUCCUAGUAAACGCAAAUCAUCAAUUUGCAUUGAUUACGUCCCUGCCCUUUGUACACACCGCCCGUCGCUCCUACCGAUUGAAUGCUCAGGUGAGCCAUUCGGACUUUCAUCAUGCUGGUUUCCAGUUUUGAUGAAGGAAAGUCUUGCGAACCUUAUCAUUUAGAGGAAGGAGAAGUCGUAACA